CUUAUUCAGCACGCGGAAGAUAGCACGCAGAGAAAAUCACGCACAGGCGAGCACGAGACCGGGCCCACGUCCCAGCCUCUCUCGCUUAUGGAACACACGUAAGCACACGCACGCCGGCGGCCCGCGCGUCGGCGACGAUCUAGCCGAAGUGGUGGUGCUUCUUCUCGCCGCUGGCCUCCUUGGCCUCCUUGUGGUCCUGCUUCUUCUCGUGGUGCUCGUGGAAGACGAAGCCGCCGGCACCGACGGCCGCGGCGGCGGCCAGCUCCUCCUCGAUCUUGUGCUUGUGCGCGUGUUCCGGGUCCUUCUUCGCCUCGUGCUUCUCGUACUGCACGUGGACAAGCAGUUCAUUAGCCAAGCCCGGAAAGACAUGAACUACGUAUAUAUCUAUAUACGCGUAUGGGUAAAUAGUUACGAUGAGAGAGAGAGAGCGUACGAGGGCGAAGGCUCCGGCGGCGACGGCGCCCAUCUCGCCGAGGUGCUCCUUGUGCUUGUGGUGCUUCUCCUCCUUGGUGAUCCGCUCGUACUCGCCCUCGUUGCCGGUGCCGGUCACCACCGUCUCGGUCGAGUACCCGUACACGUCGGCGCCGCCAUCAGCGGCGGGCUGGAAGUCCUCGCCCUCCUUCUUGUGGUGGAACAGGUGGUGGUGGUGCUUCUCCUCCGCCAUGGCCGCCGGCUGAUCGAUUAACUAGCUUGUAUGUGUGCGUGUAUGUGACAGUGGGACAGCUUCUUAUCUGCUUGGUCUGUGUAGGCUUCCUACUGGCCGGGUUUUAUAGGCUGAGGCGACUGUUGGAAUGGACGGUGGAACUAACCGUUCCGUUCCACGGGUUAUGGAUACUGGAUCCAUCAAAUAUACAGUACGUAUGCAUACGAUUGUGAUCUGCUUUAUGUACGUGUCCCGGAGUCAUUGGAGGCUUGGAGCCCAAGCACUCAGGCAACCACAGGACAGGGGGCCACGUUCUGAUGGCCAACGGUGCAGCGCCCCACCACCUUCUUGGCACUUGGCAGAGUUGCAGCUUGGGGUAGCUUACAUGUGAGUAACAAAAGUUUAGAGAAGUGUCGGCAUGCACGGAUUGGCUGACGGUGAUGUGGCACCGCGCACGCCUUUCCCUGCUCCCCGCGUCCACUAUCCAGCAACCUUUACUCGUAUGUAAUUACGUGUGCGCAUUAUUACUUUUUCUUUUUUGAGAAGUACUCCGUAGUACUAUUUGUGAAAAGUAAAAACGAGAGAGAGGAUAAAAAUGAUGGAACCGUUGCUUUCAUUGAUGGAUUGGGAGUAUAUAUACCCCUGAUACAAGGCAGUUACAAAGAGGCAGUUGCUACUAGUAGCAACCGACAUAGCGGGGAUUAACCCUUUAAUUAAUCUAAUUAAUUUAUUUCUAACACUCCCCCUAAUCACUGCUUGUCUUGGAUAUUUAUUAUCUUGAUAAAGACUCCUCUUUGUAUGUGUCUUUAAGAAUGUCCAUCAUCUUCGUGAAAGCCUUUGUAUAAUCUUGAAAGUCUUCCCAAAAAACCCUGUGGGAAAAAAUAUGAGGAGAAUAGUGUAGGUAUGUUGCUAAAACUCCUUUAAACCCGGUGGGAAAAUAAUAAGGAGAAAAUAAUGCAACAUAUAAUGAUUAUUGUCUCUUGAUAACUCAAUCGAGAAAACCUUUGAAGAAGGAGAAAAAUCAAUUGUGAGUUUAGAGAACAAUUAAUAUGUCUUUAAUACUUUCUUUAAAAAAACCCAAUAGGGAAAAUAGAAAGUAUGGCAUAUGAUUUUGAUAAUAUAUUGCCUCAUUAAAAACCUUUUUAUGAGAAAACUGAUGCAAAACUCAUAAAGGAAAAGAGUACAAUUAUUAUCUGAUGAUAAUUAAUGGGUUAUGAGUCUAGGAAUUUCUCCCCCUGAAAUUUGCAAAUCUCGAAAACGUCUCAUACCAAUUCCAUGAAUAUAUUUCUGGAAUGUUGAAUUUGGUAAAGACUUUGUGAACAAAUCUGCUAGAUUGUCGCAUGAUUUGGUUUGCAAAAUAUCAAUUUCUCCAUCCUUUUGUAAUGCAUGAGGAUAGAAUAACUUAGGAGAAAUGUGUUUUGUGAUAUUACUUUUCACAUAACCCAUUUGCAUUUGAGCAAUGCAGGCUGCAUUAUCUUCAUAUAUAAUAGUUGGUGAUCCUAAUGAACCAACACCACAUGAAGUUUGAAUAUGGUUAAUCAUCCUGCGAAGCCAUACACAUUCUUUAGAUGCUUCAAAUAAUGCAAUAAUUUCAGAAUGAUUAGUGGAUGUUGCUACGAGAGUCUGUUUUGUUGACUUCCAUGAAAAAACAGUUCCACCAUAUAAGAAUACGAAACCUGUUUGUGACCUGGCAUUGUGAGGAUCAGAUAGAUAGCCAGCAUCAGUAUAUCCUACCAUAGUCAUAUCUUGGUUUUUCUGAUAGAAUAAGCCAAGAUCUUUUGUGCCAUGUAAAUAUCUAAGGAUAUUCUUUACUCCCGUCCAAUGACGUUUUGUUGGAGCAGCGCUAUGUCUAGCUAGUAAAUUUACCGCAAAUGCAAUAUCAGGCCUGGUGCAAUUUGCAAGGUACAUUAGCGCACCAAUGGCACUGAGAUACGGGAACUCAGGUCCUAAUAUCUCUUCGUCAUCAUCCCGAGGUCUAAAAGGAUCUUUAUUCAUAUCAAGGGAUCUGACAACCAUGGGUGUUUUGGUUGGAUAUGAUUUAUCCAUAUUAAAUUUUUCCAAAACCUUUUGAAUAUAUGCAGGUUGGUAUACUAAAAUUCCUGAGGGAAGAUGCUCAAGCUGUAAGCCUAAGCAGAAUUUGGUCUUUCCCAAAUCUUUCAUCUCAAAUUCCGCCAUUAGAUGAUUGCGUGCUUCUUCGAUAUCAGGUCUACAUCCAAUGAUAUUGAGGUCAUCAACGUACACUGAGAUGAUGCAAAAUCCAUUUGGGGAUUUCUUUAUAAAUACACAAGGGCAAUCAUCAUUAUUUGAGUAGCCUUUUUGAAUAAGGAACUCACUCAGCCGGUUAUACCACAUUCUACCCGACUGUUUUAAGCCAUAUAGUGACUUUUGUAAUUUUACACAAUAUGCGUUGCGAUUUGCUUUUGGAUUCGGCAUUUUAAGUCCUUCAGGGACUUUCAUAUAUAUAUCCGAUUUGAGUGACCCAUAUAAGUAUGUUGUCACUACAUCCAUCAACUGCAUAGAUAAAUUCAUUUGUACUGCCAAAGAUAUUAAGUAUCGAAACGUUAUUCCACUCAUUACAGGAGAGUAUGUAUCAUCGUAAUCGAUGCCGGGUCUCUGCGUGAACCCUUGUUCUACAAGCCUCGCUUUGUAUCUCACCACCUCAUUGUUUUCAUUCCUUUUUCGAACAAAAACCCAUUUUGCUCCAACAGGGAAGACAUUGUGAGGAGUAGGUAUUACUGAGGAAAAUACCUCUCUUUUGUUGAGCGAGCGCAGUUCUGCCUCAAUUGCUUCCUUCCAUUUAGGCCAAUCAGGACGCUUGAGGCACUCCCUGACGGUCUUUGGUUCUGGAUCCAGUUGAAGGGUUUCAGCAAUUUCAGAGGCGAAAUAUAUGUCGACAAUUGUAGUCUCUCUAUUAUAUGAUUCUCCUAAUUCUGUAUAGUUUAUGGAAAUUUCUUUUAUACCUUCAGACUCUAUGUGAUUUCCCACAACAAUAGAAUCAUGGUGUUCCGAUGUCCCAGCAAUUAUGUUUUUAUGCGCAUUUAUGCUUGGUUCAAGAUGUUGAGCAUCUGGUUGGUGUCCUUCAACUUGAGGUUGAAUUGCAUUUACUGGUAGAGGAUUUGAUUUCCUCUGUUUCCGCGGAGGCUUUUGAGAAGCUAUAUUCCGACUAACCAGAUUUCUCCCCCUCUUACUCUCAUUUGGGGUUUGAGUGGUUUUAGUUGGUACCUCCACUCGUUCUGGUGCAUUAACAGCGGGAAUAUGUGAUUUAGUGACACCUUUAUGGUGAGUAAAUGCAUCUGGCAGAUUAUUUGCAAUGUGUUGCAAAUCUAUGAUCCUGUGAACUUCAGUUUCAGAUUCUUUAGUACGUGGAUCUAAGGACUGAAUGCCUGUUACAUUCCAAUCUAUUUCCUGGCAUUCUUUGUGGUUUGAUUCUCCCCCUAAUGCCGGGGAAUGGUCCUCAUCAAAAAUAGAAUCAGCGUAACGGGCAGUAAACAGGUCCCCUGUAAGAGGUUCAAGAUAUUUAAUAAUUGACGGAGAAUUAUAACCCACAUAGAUCCCUAGUUUUCUGUGGGGGCCCAUGGAUGUACGCUGCGGUGGUGAUAUCGGUACGUAUACUGCGCAACCGAAUUUUCGCAGAUGGGAAAUACUUGGCUGAGUGCCACGUACUAGUUGUAGCGGGGAGGUUGUAUGAUAUGCAGUUGGUCUGAUUUGUAUCAGAUCUGCGGCGUGUAAUACCGCAUGUGCCCAACAAGAUGCUGGUAAAUUACAAUUCUGUAAUAGUGGUCGAGCAACUAAUUUUACUCUUUUGAUGAGAGAUUCAGCCAAACCAUUUUGAGAUUCUGCGGCGGUUCUGGCGGUGGUUCCCGGCGAAGAAGCGGCGAUGAGGGCCACUCCGGUUCUGGCGGUGGUUCCUGGUGAAGGAACGGCGGCGAGGGCCAUUCCUUGCACCAAGGCCCUCACGGCGACGUGCAAUGCGGUGGCGCUGCGUGCGAGUGAAGCGGCUGUCUUCUUUCUGCAGGAAACGUGCGAAAGCAAAAGCAAGCGAGGACAAAUCUCUCCCUGCCAUUCUCACCUUUCUCUUGGCUCUCUGUCGCUCUCGGCAGAGCAAGUGCUGAUAACGUGUGAAAAGUAAAAACGAGAGAGAGGAUAAAAAUGAUGGAACCGUUGCUUUCAUUGAUGGAUUGGGAGUAUAUAUACCCCUGGUACAAGGCAGUUACAAAGAGGCAGUUGCUACUAGUAGCAACCGACAUAGCGGGGAUUAACCCUUUAAUUAAUCUAAUUAAUUUAUUUCUAACACUAUUAUUGGAAAACAUGCAUACACAUGCAGAUGUUUGGAUUUUUUCACUGUUUUGACCUUACAUGUAAACAUGAGCACAAAAUGAACUCAGUCUGAAAAUAUUUUUGGAUCUGACCUUUCUUUAAAACGCCAGAGUCCGUCGCGUUGCUGCUCCACGUAGAAACGCCAGACUAACGUGGCGUUUUUGAUCUACAUUCAAACGUCAGUCUACUGGACGUUGCAGCAUAUAUAGAAACGCCAAGUUCAGUCUGUUGUAAGUUGAAUCGAGAGAAACAAAUGAAUCAAUUGUCACUUUAUUCCUUGAUGAUUGAACACUUUAUAUGCCAGGGAAAGACGGUUCCCGGAGGCGACGCUCCAGGAACAAUACGCCGGUUCCGCAUCGUGGGGGGAAUUCACGUGCGGUUACAAGUAGAGAUUAAUUUAACUAAUUACAUAAUUAAUUAAAUUCUAACACUCCCCCUAAUCUAUACUUGUCCAUGAGCGUGUCCAUCAUCUUGAAAUAGUCUCCUCCAAAAACCCUGUGGGAAAAAUAUAAGGAGUGGUGUAGUAUAUGCGGCUAAAACUCCUUCAAACCCUGUGGGGAAAUAAGGAGAAAAUGAUAUAGCAUAUAAUGCGUAUUGCCUCUGUUAACUCUAUAUGAAAUGUAUCCAUAGAAUAAGAGGACAAUAAAUAUGUCGUAUAUACUUUCCUAAAAACCCCGGUGGGGAAAACAGAUAGUAUGACAUAUGAUCUUAUGUUGAUAUUACCUCAUUAAAAACCUCGAUGAGAACCUAUAAAGUAAACUCAUAAAGGGAAAAGAGUGUAAUAUGAUGCUUUGAACAGGAAGAGUUCAGGAAGAGACUCCCCCUGACUCUUGCAAAUCUCGGAGCCGUCGCAUACCAAUUCCAUGAAUGUAUUUCUGGAAUGUUGAAGCUGGUAGAGACUUCGUGAAAAGAUCAGCUAGAUUAUCGCAUGACUUGACUUGCAAGAUGUUGAUUUCACCACUUUUCUGGAGUUCAUGGGGAUAAAACAACUUAGGGGCAAUAUGCUUAGUGAUAUUGCUCUUUAUGUAUCCUGUUUGCAUCUGUGCAACACAAGCCGCAUUAUCUUCAUAGAUAAUGGUAGGUGAUUUGAUAGAACCAAUUCCACGUGACUGUUGUAUGUGGUUUAUCAUUCUGCGAAGCCACGUGCAUUCACGUGAUGCCUCAUAUAAAGCAAUUAUUUCAGAAUGAUUGGUAGAUGUUGCAACUAGGGUCUGUUUUGAAGACUUCCAUGAUAUAGCAGUUCCACCAUGUAGGAACACAAAGCCGGUCUGCGAUCUGGCAUUAUGGGGAUCAGAUAAAUAGCCAGCAUCUGUAUAUCCAAUUAUACCAGAGUCUAGUUUUUUCUGGAACUGAAUAGGCCAAGAUCCUUUGUGCCUUGGAGAUAUCGAAAGACAUUCUUGACUCCCGACCAAUGGCGUUUGGUGGGAGCUGCGCUGUGUCUAGCAAGUAGAUUUACUGCAAAUGCGAGGUCAGGUCUCGUGCAAUUUGCUAGAUACAUAAGCGCUCCAAUUGCACUGAGAUAUGGAACCUCGGGUCCAAAAAUCUCUUCACCAUCAUCCCUUGGCCUGAACGGAUCUUUCUCUACGUCUAGAGAUCGAACCACCAUGGGAGGUUUAGAUGGGUAGGAUUUGUCCAUAUUGAAUUUCUCCAAUAUUUUCUGGAUAUAGGCAGCUUGGUGUACCAUUAUUCCUGAGGUAAGGUGCUCGAGUUGGAGACCCAAGCAAAAUUUGGUUUGGCCCAAAUCCUUCAUCUCAAAUUCCAUCUUUAGGUGAUUGCGUGCUUCAUCAAUAUCUGGUGUACAGCCGAUGAUGUUGAGAUCAUCAACAUACACAGAAAUGAUGCAAAAUCUUGUAGACGACUUCUUGAUGAAGACACAUGGGCAAUCAUCACUAUUGGAGUAACCUUUCUGAAGAAGGAACUCACUUAGUCGGUUGUACCACAUCCGCCCCGACUGUUUUAAGCCAUACAAUGACUUAUUCAGCUUUACACAAUACAUGUUGCGUUUUGCAUUGUUACUCGGGACAGAGAUUCCGUCAGGAACCUUCAUAUAUAUGUCCGAAUCUAGUGACCCGAAAAGAUAUGCGGUCACGACGUCCAUCAACUGCAUGGAUAGACGAUUUUGUACUGCCAUAGAUAUAAGAUAUCGGAAAGUUGUUCCACUCAUUACUGGAGAGUAUGUCUCAUUGAAAUCAAUGCCGGGUUUCUGCGUAAAACCUUGUGCUACGAGCCUUGCUUUAUAUCUCACCACCUCAUUGUCCUCAUUCCGUUUCCGGAGGAAAACCCAUUUGAAUCCCACAGGGAAAACAUUGGGAGGUGUAGGUAUUGCUUCAGUGAAUACCUUCCUUUUGUUAAGCGAGGCAAUUUCUGCUUGGAUUGCAUCCUUCCAUUUAGGCCAGUCGGAGCGCCUUUGGCAUUCGACGAUAGACCUUGGAUCAUGAUCAGUGAUAAGGAUAUCUACAAUCUUUUCAGCAAAAUAUAUGUCGACAGUCGUAGUCUUGCGGUCAAAUGAUUCUCCAGAAUCAACAUAGUUGAUGGAAAUUUCUUGCACCCCUAGAGACUGUUCGUUAUUUCCCAAUACGAUUGAGUCUAGGUGUUCCGAUGUUCCAGCUAGUUUGUGCAUACUGGAGCUGGGUUGUGAAGGUCUCCCUUCCACUGGGUGUAAACUACCCAUAAGGUGUUCAUCAACGUUGAGUUGACUUGCAUUUACUGAUUUUGAGGAUCUUCUCCUCUCUCUCCUUUGCUGCUUGCGAGAAGCAGGUUCCGGGUCAGAGGUCGUACUACUCCCCCUCUUUUUAGGAACAGGGAGUUGAGUGGUUUUAGUUGGUACCUCCACUCUUUCGGGCGCAUUUCUGGCUGGAAUCAAGGAUUUUGUAACACCUUUUAGAUCAGUAAAUGAAUCUGGCAGAUUAUUUGCAAGAUGUUGCAAAUUGAUAAUUUUCCGAACUUGUAGUUCGGUCUCUUGAGUACGUGGAUCAGAGGCUGAAAUGGCAAUGGCAUUCCAAUCAAUUUCCGAGCAUUCUUUCUGGUACUUGAAAUCUCCCCCUAAUGCCGGAAAAUGUUCCUCAUCAAAAAUGCAAUCAGCGUGACGGGCUGUGAAUAGAUCCCCAGUAAGGGGUUCCAGGUACUUGAUAAUCGACGGCGAUCUGUACCCCACAUAGAUCCCAAGUUUCCUGUCUGGGCCCAUGGAUGUCCGCUGUGGUGGUGAGAUUGGGAUGUACGUAGCACAUCCGAACUUACGCAGAUGGGAAAUGCUGGGAGGAUUUCCACGUACCAAUUGCAGAGGGGAAGUACUGUGAUAUGCAGUAGGUCGCAAUUGGAUUAAGUCAGUAGCGUGUAAAAUUGCAUGACCCCAACACGAAGUUGGUAAGCUGCAAUUCAUUAACAAAGGUCUUGCAAUGAGUUUGAUCCUUUUAAUUAGAGAUUCGGCCAAACCAUUUUGAGUAUGAACGUAUGGGACAGAGUGCUGAACUUCAAUCCCCAAGGCCAUGCAAUAGUCAUUGAAAGCACGUGAACAAAAUUCUGCAGCAUUGUCCAUGCGAAUUGAUUUAAUUCAACUUUCUGGAUAAUGGGCCUGUAACUUAAUUACUUCCCGCAUUAUCUUGGCAAAUGCAUGGUUUCGUGUGGAUAGAAGGCACACGUGUGACCAUCGUGUAGAUGCAUCAAUCAGAACCAUGAAAUACCGAAAUGGUCCAGAUAAUGGUUGGAUAGGACCACAAAUGUCACCUUGAAUGCGUUCAAGGAAGUGAAGUGGUUCAGCUUGUAUUUUAAGGUGUGAUGGCCUUAAAAUUAGUUUCCCUGUGGCGCAGGAUGUGCACACAAAGUCUGAUGACUGAGGAAACUUUGACUCGAGCAAAUUAUGACCAAUAGAAUUGCUAGUAAUUUUCCUCAUCAUCCCAACACUGGGGUGGCCAAGGCGAUCAUGCCAAGUUUGGAAUGCAUUAACAUUCUGAAAAAUUACCUUGUAAGCAACAUGUUCUACGGGCUUGAUGUACGUAUAGUACAGUCCGGACGAUAGUGAAGGAAUUUUUUCAAGUACUUGCUUGCCAUAUCCGUAAUCUUUUGUGAAGAGUAGAAACUCUUCUGUGUUGUCCUCAUGGGUUUCAAUGUGAAAACCAUUUUUACGGAUAUCUCAAAAACUGAUUAGGGUACGGGAUGAAUCAGGAUACAGCAAGGCAUCCUCAAUUGUCACUUGUGUACCACCUCGGAGGGUAAAUAUGGCACGUCCAGUGCCAACAAUUACCGUAUCGCGUCCAACGAUUGUCAAAAUAUCUCCAUUCAUCUUUUUCAGAGUCUGAAAAUAUUUCAACUCCCUUGGUAUGGAGUUUGUGGUAGCACUGUCCACAAGGCAUAAUUCCUCUUCCAUCGGAUUGUCCCCAUAGAAAGCUAUAUAUAAAAAUGAGGAAUUUUCAAUAAGAAAGCCUUAUUUCAAUACAUAGAAUACAAUCUUAUUAUAUCAAAGUGCUGAUACAAUAUAUAAAUGACAACAAUACUUAUGUUCUAUUACAAUCAUCACACAUGGAUAUGAUUUAUUUAAUAAAUCGACCACUAAGGAGAUAAUGGGACUAAUCGAAGUCUCCAAACAUGUCGGUUGAGGUGUACUCAACCAUCAUGUUCUCCGUGUCUGUAGGAUCCUCUAAUGUAUGGAGUGUCAUGGUGUUGCUAGAUCCGGGAGGAACAUCUUGCGAACAACCAGCUCCAUUGGUGCCAUCUGGAUGAAGGUUGAAGUUGGCUUGAAACCUUUUCCCUUGAGGUACUUUGCGUCCCUGAGAUUGCUGAUACAGAAUUGCCAGAUGCUUCGGGGUCUUGCACUUAUUGGUAGGAUGCGUGUAGCAUCCACACUUGUCACAAAGCUUAGUUUGGUCAAACUUGGGCUUUGCGGUGCCUUUCCCAUGGUCCGAGUUUCUAGGCUUUCUGUUCCGGUUGCGCUUGCAUUUACCCUUGAAGUUCGAUGGCUUGCCAUGGGACGCACCAUCAAACUUUCGUCUGUUCACGACGUUCAUAUGAACUUCAGGCAGAGGUUGGGAACCAACCGGACGCUGAGAACCAUUCUUAGCGAGUAGCUCAUCAUGCUUUUCAGCCUGAAGUAGGAUAUGAAUGAGGUCGGAAUAGACUUGGUAGUCAUGAGCGCGGUACUGUUGCUGGAGGACCCUUUCAUAUGGGAGCAUAGUAGACAUAGUUUUUUCUAUCUUUUCCGCAUCAGUAGGUUCCUUCCCGCAAAAGCGUAAUUUGGAACAUAUCUUAUGAACCUCGUGAUUGUACGCCCCGAUGGACUUGAAAUCCUGGAGUCGGAUAUGCGUCCAAUCAUGGAGUGCUUCCGGCAGGACAACUGCCUUUUGCUGUUCAUACCUCGUCUUGAGGGCCUGAAACAGAGUAAGUGGGGAUUCCUCCUCCAAAUAUUCAGAUUUGAGAUCUGGGUGGAUAUGGUGCCUUAUGAUGUAUAAGGCGGCAUAUUUCUGUUCAUCUCUCAGCGGCGUGACUCCAUCCGGAAGAGGAUCUUCCGGAGUCUGGAUUGCACACACUAAUCCACGAGAUGCAAGAGCGAUCUUGAUGUCCAUGGCCCAGGUAGGAUAGUUGUGGCCAUUGAGGUCGGGUGCAUCGAACUCUCUUCCAGCCAUUGGUUACCUACAUGGGUAAACCAGAGAUUAUUAAUUUACACCAGGUAAAUUAAAACCUUCAUGGUUACGUUGUAUUGAACGUUGCAAAAUUAAUGAUAACUUCAAGAAAUGGGCUUGAAAUCAUUAGUGUGACUUUCAAAUUGUGAAGUUUGACACAUUGUAGAUACGCCCCAAACGAAAAUUCGGGGUCCAUCUCUCAGAACUAGGGAGUAUAAUCUGAUAAAAUCAGUAGAUACUCAUGUUUCUAGUACCUUAUGUCAUAACUUAAUAAAAUGUAUCGGAGGGCACAAUAUUAAGCAAUCAUCAUAUCAAUAUGAUAGAAUGUAGGCUUAAUCGUAGUGGCGAUAAUCUGCUAUGCAUUAGAUCAACACACUUCUUUGUGGUCCCAAAACAUCAAUUUGAAAGAAAAUCACUUUGGAAUUUUGCAUAUCAACUCGUGCUCGUAUUAAGCCAAAGGCUCAAUUAAGACGAGGGGUUGAUUUUUAUUUGCAAGAAAUUUGAAAUCUCAAUUACAAAUAAUAGAGGUAAUAAAUCUCAACAUGUAGCAAACAUGGAAAUAUAUAUUACAUCACAUAUGUUCUAGAAUACAAAGUACUCUACAGAAAACAAAACAGUACUAGAAAUAGACGUACUGAAAACAGGAAUUAAACAGGAUCUAAGACAGGGAUUAGUCUACUGCUAGAUCUACUGUUGAUAGUACAGGAAGUAAUCUAAAACAGAGAGCAAAUAGUGCUGGAAAAUACUACUAAAGUGUGCUGGAGUGCUGCAAGACCACAUGUGCCAUCGAACCAAGGCCACAUGUGUCCCAAGGAUGUGCACAUGUCGUCUGCAGCGUCCACUUUAUUCAAAUCACGGGAGGAUAAGGCAGAGCCAGCUCUAAAAAAACAAGAGCGGCACCGCAUCAGGCAGAGCCCCGCGCCAGGGAGAACUCCGCGUGUGCUGCUUCACAGCGUUCACCAGGGACGGGCGAGAGAGCCUCCGCCGCGCUCGUCCUCGUCUUCGUCGGAAGGCCCGCCCGGGGGCAAGGAGCGAGGCGAGGUGCCGUCCACGAGCCCAAGGGCGGCCGGGCUCCAGGANGCUCUCCAAACCUGCGGUGGAGAGCAGCGAGGCGGCGACGACGGACGUAGUUCUGCUGCAGGCGGCGAAGGUUCGUCGGCGUUGAGCGAGGCAUCCUUCUCACCUUUUGCUUCUUGCCUGUCGAUCUCAUCGAUCUCGUCGAAAGCACUCUGGAAGAGCAGUGCUGAUAACGUGUUGUAAGUUGAAUCGAGAGAGAGAUAGCGAGAGAAACAAAUGAAUCAAAUGUCACUUUAUUCCUUGAUGAUUGAACACUUUAUAUGCGAGGGAAAGACGGUUCCUGGAGGCGACGCUCCAGGAACAAUACGUCGGUUCCGCAUCGUGGGGGGAAUUCACGUGCGGUUACAUGUAGAAAUUAAUUUAACUAAUUACAUAAUUAAUUAAAUUCUAACACAGUCUACUUAGCGUUUCAGGCUAUGUAGCAACGCCAAGGCGCAUGGCGUUUCAAUGCAUGCGCUACUGUUCGCAGCAUGCAGGCAGGCAUGCACGCAUGCGCCGCUGUUCGCAGCUACUGUUUGCUACUGGUCACUGCCCCUCUCUGCUCGUUUUUGAGUCUUGCAUGCCAGCUACACUGUGUAUGGAGUCUUGCAUGCGAGCUACACUGUGUAUGGGAGAAAAAAUAAUGCCCAGUAAAGAGGAUCGGAGGGAGUACACUGCAUCCAUGCAUGCAGGCAAUGCAGAGGCAGGCACGCACACACACAUAACUAUGGGAUGUGGCUAUGGUGUGGCGUAGAGUAGCAUGGAUGAUGAGCAGGAGUAAAAUAAACUAUUGUUGCUCCUACUGGCACGGUGACACCGGCACAGUAGCUCAUGCAUGGUUAUUUGCCUCAGAAACGCCAACUCGCAUGGCGUUUCACUGAAGGCCAAAAACGCCACACUAUACAGGCAUUUCUUAAUAGGUCUGCAACGCCACGUUAGAGUGGCGUUUCUUAAUAGGGCUGCAACGUCACGGACUAUGGCGUUUUAAGAAAAUGAUCAAAACGUGAAAUUGUUUUCAAACGAGUUCGUUACGUGAUUAUCGUAGCCCCCUCGGAUCAAAACAGUGAAAAAACCCCAGAUGUUUCAAGCUACUGGCUUCCUUUAAUCCUUUCCAACAUGAUUUUUUAGGAACUUAAAAGCAAACAAUUUAAUUGCAAAUCAAUAUAUAUAUGGAUGGUCUGAGCAUCUACAACCACGGAUCCACCCCUCAAAAGUCCGCGGACGCGUCCGCGGACAUAGACCGGGCGCGUCUUAUUUUUUGCCUUUCACAUCUGCGUCUCUCAUAUUCGAAACCUCAUAUCCAUACAAAUGCAUGCAACGUCACGUAAAACAAGAGAUAACCAUUCUCCAUUGGAUUGGAUUGAUUCGUCGAACAAAAGCAUCAUAGUUCAUCGAACUUCAUCGGCAAAUUAAUACUAGAAACUACUUAAGCAUAAUUAAAAUGUACACAACACGGGGCGCUCACGGUCGAACGUCGCGCGGCCAGCGCCUCCCCCUUUCCCUCUCCCAUUGCCGCUCUAGACGCGCUGCACGCGUCUUGGACUCCGACGUCCUCUCGCGCCCCGUCCCCGACACGGGCACGAGGACCUAGCGUGGCCGGGUACCGCUUUCGAAGCAGAAGGUGGUGGAGGUGGGCAACGUACCUAACCUGGAGCGGACCGGCCGGAGCGGGAGCGACCAAAGCUGUAUGCCUUGCGGGAAGGGCCUGCUACGUCGGCGUGCGAUGAGCCCGAAGGAUGUAGGACCACAGUCGGGGCCGCCUUGGUCCUGCAGCAACCGGCGUAACGCGAUACGGAGGGCCACCUCCUCUACAUCGACGUUUGAUCCAUCAGAGUUGCUUCUGUCGCCGAUCAUCGGGUCGGAGGGUGGGGGAUUUGAAGUGGAGUGGACAGAGAGUGAACUGCUGGAUGUCUAGAGUUUUUGGAUUGGGGUAUUUAGUGGGUCCGUGGUGGGCGGGCUAACAUGGCCACGGGGUCGACGGUGGGCCAGACCUGACAGACGGGGCAUGCCCAGGCGCGCCCGGGCUUUCCCAUAUCCGUCCUAUAUUUGAAAUGGACAUGAGGAGUACCGCUCAGUCUAGACGUUUGAGACGAGUUUGAGAGACUCGUCUGGAUCGAAUUUUUGUGACCGGACAAUGACCGGACGGCCAGCCCGAUAUUUUAAGGAGCAUUUAAAGGGUCUGGCUAUAGAUACUCUAAUACUCUCUUGGACCCUUUUAUACGUUUUAAAAACCAUAAAGUUGAUCGUUCAAUUUCUGGGAGCAGUCGUUCAUAUGAAAACACCCUCGUUAUCGGACUAAGGCGGCCACCAUAUUCUUUACCAAAGUGUUCAUGUGUUUUCCUAUUUUUUGUAUCACGUUUCCUGACUUAUCCGUCCUGGUGCGGCCGUCGUGGGUGAUGCAUGAGAGCCAAUGGUUUUAGUACCACAUAUGGUGUUCUUGUGGAUAGGUAUCUUAUGUUUAACUUGUCUUGAGAGAUGUGACGGUGUUAAUGAUGUCUACAUGCUCUUUUUUGUCCGUUCUUCCUUUUUUCUACUAUGAUAUUUAUCUUUUUCCUUAAUAAUAUGAAGGUAAAUUUAUUGAUGCCAGUUUGCCAUGUGUGGGAUGUCUACCUCACAACAAAAUAUUCAACGGCAUUAGUUUCCCCAACUCUUAGGGCAGAUGGCUCAUAUGGCUUGAAGACCUAUGAGGUUAGUCGAGGUUAUGUAGGUUUUUUUUUGGUUUUAAUUAUUAGGAUAUACCUUGUGAGGGCUUCGGUUGCCUUUGUUAUUCACUUCAAUCAAAUGUGCCAUUUUUAUGAAACAAGCUCCUUAUGUUCUUCUUAAUAACAAAUGAAUCGAGGUGGUCUUUGAAGGCAUCUUCGGGUGGAAUGGACGAUGCGGCUUGGUGUCUUGGUCCUAUGGCUCCUUCACGAGCGGCGAUGUUUGGCAUGCUUCUAGUAGCUUGUGGUGUAAUCUCACUUCAUAUCUGUCUGGUGUAAUUUGUAGUAGUCGCUCUACCUUCUUCGUCCUCUUCUUCUCUAGGAUGGCGAAUUAUUUCGCAGAUCUUGCUGGCGUUGGCGUUUGCUUCCUCCGACCAUCGACUUCCUAGUUGUUGCUUAACAAUGUCCUCCUGACAUUGAUGGGUUUUGAAGGUAAAGAGAAAGCAUCGAGCUUUUCUCACGGUGCGCCGCUCGCGAGUUCACCAGAAAGAUGACGACGAUUUGUCCAAAGACAAGUGUGUAACUAUUAAUUUCUAUAAGAAUGACCUUUAAGGGUUUGUGGACUUCAAUAUAUGGUCUUUGGCCUUCUUAUGGAAUUGUUUGUUUGAAUAUGCCGAAAAGAAAUCAUAAACUUGUGGGUCACACACAUAUUUCCCCAAGGAAUUAAGCUCCACGAAAUUCCAUUUUGCAGUUCGGAGCAAAGCCACAAUGCAAGAGAGAGAUCUAAUACCAUGUACCAAACAAUCUAAGAAUGAAAAUAUGAUGGUCGCACUUGAAAGCAAGUUAUAAUUAUCAUAACAUGAAAACUAUUAGUGCAAAAGCCCCUCAAAGGUUAUAAAAGUCCAUAAACCGCCUAAUCGACACCACCAUGUAAAACUUUCUUGUGCUUUCACUCCCACCCUCCUUUAUUAGCAACAAAGAGUGUUAAACAAUUGAGAGCAUCUCAAACAGCAGCUGCAAAAACCGCACACGCGGGGAAAAUAGUCUUUUAGCACGUGUGGGGCGGUUGCGUGCGCUCCAGCAGCCGCGGAAUAAUCGGCCGCGCGGGAAAAGGUAGCCCGCCGCGCGAUAGAUUUGGCGUGCAGCGCUCGGCGCGCCCUAUAAAUGCAGUACUCGACCACGCGUCCUUCCACCGCUCUCACUCGCCUCUCUCCCGCCACGCGUCCUCUGUCGAUGUCUCUCUCGCCUCGUCGCCCUCGCGCCGUCGCGGAACUUCGGGAUACCGUGACGUCCGUUCUGCGCUUCGCCAAGAUCCGCUCCGGCGACAUGCGCCUUGGCCUCGACACGUUCGACGCCGCCGACGAUGACGUCCGUGCGUAUGACGCGGCAGCGUUGCGCCUCAACAUGCCUCUUAGGGAGAUGAAUUUCCCCGAGGUGAUGACGCUGGAGUGGGCGCAGAACCCCACGCCUCGUCCAUAGGUUGUCACCGAAGAGGACCAUCGUCGGAACCGGAGGCGGGAGCGCCGCCUCAGCAUUGUUGAGAUGGACGAGCAUGCCAUGACAGAGUGGCGCCGACAGUUCCUGCAGGACGACCUCGAUGAGCGCUAAUUCUUCACGCAAAGGAGGAUGGAGCAAGCCGCCUAUCGUGAAGAUAGGCGUACGCGGAAGCAAGCUGCACUGUUCUAGAUGGAGCUGAAGGAAUCGUCGAUUUGGCCCUCCGACGAUGAACGCUGGGCUGACACCUUCAUCAUGACGGAGGAAUAGGAUACCGGCCCGUCGGAAUCCGAUAACGACGACGAAUAGUCUUCUAUCUAUCUAGACUAUCUAUGGUUUGUAUGUACCUUUUUUUAUCGUUUUCUAUCUAUCUAGGCUAUCUAUGUUAUGUAUCAUUUAUUAAAAAUUAUGCUAUGUAUCGUUAUGUAUCGUUUAAAAAUAUACUAUGAUCAAAAAUGCAUAUUGCAAGCGCUGAAGUUUUUACGCGUUUGCUGGAGUGUCCCGCGCGCGUCAAAUUUUGCGACUUACGCUCGAGCCAGCGUUUGCUGGCGCGCUAAAAUUUGUUGUCUACAUGAUGUAAACUCACUUUUUAUGCGCCGUGCGUUGCGCACGUGUUGGAGAUGCUGUGACACAGAUAGAAACUAUGCAAUUAAGAAAUUACAACCUUCCAAAUUAGAGCUGAGCAAUCCAUGGUUAUACCACGAAGUUACAAUAGUUAUCUCUAUAAACCAACCCACUAAAAAAUAAACAAAAGGGAAAAAGCAAUACGCCAGACCAUCCUACAAAAAUGAGACGGUCUCUUGAUAAUUAGUUAUCCAUAGUAUUAAAUAGAUCUUUUUUUUCUUUAGGAACUCUACAAAGGGCUAUAAAAAUUACAUUGCCAUGUUCAUUUUAGUUAUAUUAUUUUCAAUAAUUUUAAUAAAAAAGAAGAAAAUCCUUUUUUUUCUUGCUAAAAAUUGGCAUUGGCCGAGAGUGAAUCAAAUGAAUUUUCUCUUUAGUUGGCAUUUCUAUAUAGAACUUAAUAUAAUAAAACAAUCAAGUUACACAUAGAACACUUUUUUGUCGAUUAUAUUCAUCAAGAAAGCAAAACUGACCAACUUGUGUUGUAACAGAUCAGCUAAAACAAUAACUAACUCAGACUAGGCCCAUAUAUAUAUUGUUUAUUAUACUGUAUAUGUCGAUAUCAUCUGAAUGCGGAUUAAAGUUACUUCGAGAAAAUAAACGAAUAAUGGGUACGGGCAUACGGUACCUGUUGUGGCAGAAAUAAAAUCGUUGCAUGUGACUGAAGUAAUCGUCGGCUAUUGGAGGUGUGGGAAAAUUGCAGCGAAUCUGAUCUGCUGAAUAAUUAAAGCAUCAUUUUAUAGCAAAGUUGAUUUAGUAGUGAUCACGAUGUCCAACGACUUCAAGCUAACAGCGAUAUGCUCCACACAUAUAUAGUUUCUUUUGGGGAAGAAUAUACACACUAGUGAGGACGGGGCCUUUAGCCCCGGCCCGUAAGGGGCUUUAGUUCUGGUUCACCAAUCGGGACUAAAGGGCGGGACUAAAGGGCCAACCUUUAGUCCCGGCCCUGUAAGGUGCUUCACGUGGGCGCCUCGUAGCGCUUCAUGGGCAGACCCUUUAGUCCCGGUCCGUGUACGGACCGGGACUAAAGAAUUUCAGAUUUUUUUUUUUGAAUGAAAUUAGUUUUGGGUUUUAGGGUUUUAGGGUUUAGGUGUUCGGAAGAUUAACGUGAUGCCUCGUUUGGUGUUCGGUAAUUAGUUUUCAUACAAUUUAAAUAGAAAUAAUUAUGCAUAUAUAUAUAUAAGAUUUACUUAUCUUACAAGCGAGCAUAUAUAUACAAUUAUAUGGAGAUCUGAAUUAUCGGGACUAGAGCCCGUCUAUUCGAUUACAUGGACGAACAUCAGUAAUGGCCCCUAGCUACACUAAAUCGUCUAUAGCUCCGUCCUCAGAAAGGUCGCAAGCUCCUCUGCAACAGCAAUCGCGCGUUGCUCUGGUAGGACCUUCGUCCUCAUGGCCGUGUACUAUAUAAGAAGAGGAGAUGAAUAUGAAUAUCAAUCAUGACAACAAAGAAUGACGGGUAAAAAUAGAGGUGUGAAUGUUCAUUGCUUACGUCGAAUCUGUGAUCCUUGUGCUCAGAGGUAAACGUACGAAUGGUCUCGCAAACAUAGUAUCCGCAUAGAUGCGUUCCCCGUAGCUGCUGGUCGCACUUUCCGAGAAUAGAAUAUAUAUAAUCAAAAUAAUAAUCUAGCAUCAUAAAUGUAUUGAAAAUAGAAGUAUAUCAUACUACUACUUACCUGGGCCACUCUAAAGGUCAGCUUCUCAGGCUCGAUACCGGGAGUCACGCACUUGAACCGCUUCCAAACCCUGCCCGACAAGGAUAAUGAUUUGCUAAGUUUUUCAUUAAUUGAUAUAUCAGAAAAUCAUCGAAAGAGACCGAUAGAGCGCAAGAAUGAUUGAAAUUACCCUUGGAGCAUGUCCUGCAGGCUUUGGAACUGUUCCAAGGGUCUCGAUAAUGGGUCGAAGGCAUCGACUCUUCCCUUAUCAACUUGAGCAUAGUAUUCAAAGUAGGAGUACUUUUCCAAUUUGAGCAUUCAAUAAGCAAAACCAAAUCCUAAAAUAAAGUAGUAUUCAAAUUAGCAUGCAUUCAAUUAUAAGCAAAUACAUCAUCUCUUUUGUCCGUACAUCGUCGAAUAUUAUCACUAAUACUCCUCGAAUACUAUCAUACAUAUAGCAUCACUGAUACAUCUAGAAAGUAGCGCCCGACGGGUAUCGGCGCGGGCGGUGGACACCCAAAGAGAAGGAACCAUCACAGGAUCAUAGCUCCAGUGAGAUCCCCGAAGAACCUGCCAGGUAUGCUCGAACCUGCCCUCCAACGCAACCAUGUAGCGACGGACGUGCUCAUCCUCCUCGCUGACACGGUGACGUACCACCUCCGCGGUGUCCGGAAGCCUCGGCACCCUCACUGGCCCACGCGACCGCCACCAAACAAGGAUCGGGUCAACGACGGGCUGGCUCCUCACCAACCUACGCCCCCGGAAGGUAGCACCUCCCAAUACCAGCCGGGCGGAGCCCAGUCCCGGACAGGGCCCCUCUGAUCAAGCAGGUGUCCUCCGCCGAGUCGACGACGAGGAUGCGGGAUAGGCAUUGUAAAAUAAACUAAAAAAUAAACUAGUUCUAUUAAUUUUCUUGCUAAAAAUAAACUAUUAACACUUAAGCAUGUAUAAUAGCAAAAUUAAACUAUUAACACUUAAUCAUAUACAAUAGCAAAAUUAAGCAAUAAUCUAAGAAACACUAUUAACAUUUAGGCAUAUACACUAUACAAUAGCAAAAUUAAAUGAAAAAAAAAUAUUUCUUCUUCUUGUAACCCUAAACUAAUUUUUUCUCUUCUUCUAUUUCUCCUCUUCUUCUACUUCUCCUCUUCUUCUACUACUUCUCCUCUUCUCUUCUUCUACUUCUCCUCUCCUCCUCUUCUAAUUUUUUCUCUUCUUCUACUUCUCCUCUUCUUCUAUUUUUCCGCUUCUUCUCCUCUCCUCCUCUUCUUAUUCUCCUUUUUCUUCUUUUCUUCUCCUCAUCUUCUUAUUUUCCUUUUUCCUAAUUCUAAAUAUUACUAACCCUAAUAAUCUAGCACAAACCUAAUAACAAUAGGAAUUAAAUGACAAAAAAAAUCUGUUUCNNNNNNNNNNNNNNNNNNNNNNNNNNNNNNNNNNNNNNNNNNNNNNNNNNNNNNNNNNNNNNNNNNNNNNNNNNNNNNNNNNNNNNNNNNNNNNNNNNNNNNNNNNNCAUAUUUGAGAAUUUGACAAAACUAUGAUAAUGAAAAGUGUUUGACAUUGAAUAAAUAAUGCAAAACUAUUUUCUAUUUUCAAAAGUAAUUAUUUUGACUAUCCAAACUAUUAUCUAUUUUUCUAUUUUCAAUUAAAAAAUAUGUUUAUUAAAAUUCUUUUUGCAUAUUUGAGAAUCUGACAAAACUAUGAUAAUGAAAAGUGUUUGAAAUUGAAUAAAUAAUGCAAAACUAUUUUCUAUUUUCAAAAGUAAUUAUUUUGACUAUCCAAACUAUUAUCUAUUUUGUUAUUUUCAAUUAAAAACUAUGUUUAUUAAAAAUUCUUUUUACAUAUUUGAGAAUUUGACAAAACUAUGAUAAUGAAAAGUGUUUGAAAUUGAAUAAAUAAUGCAAAACUAUUUUCUAUUUUCAAAAGUAAUUAUUUUGACUAUCCAAAAUAUUAACUAUUUUGUUAUUUUCAAUUAAAAACUAUGUUUAUUAAAAUUCUUUUUGCAUAUUUGAAAAUUUGACAAAACUAUGAUAAUGAAAAGUGUUUGAAAUUGAAUAAAUAAUGCAAAACUAUUUUCUAUUUUUAAAAGUAGAAGCGACCCCCACAAUAAGAGACGACAUUCUUCUUCUCUCAUAUAUGGUGGACACUAGCUCAACCAUCGAUGAUGGUCGCUACUCCUACUUCCCCUAGUGCAUAACCAAUAUCUAGCACAAGGAGAAGAAGGAGAAACGACCCCCACAGCAACAGUCGACAUUCUUCUUCUCUCAUGUAUGGUGGACACUCCCUCACCUGAUUUUUCGACCGUCGAUGAUGGUCGCUACUCCUUCUUCCCCUAGUGCAUAACAAAUAUCUAGCACAAAGAGAAGAAGGAGAAGCAACCCCCACAACAACAGUCGGCAUUCUUCUUCUCUCAUGUAUGGUGGACACUCCCUCACCUGAAUUUUUGACCGUCGAUGAUGGUCGCUAUUCCUUAUUUCCCUAAUGCAUAACAAAUAUCUAGCACAAGGAGAAGAAGGAAAAGCGACCCCACAACAAAAGUGGUUCCGCGGCACGCCACGUGGUUCCGCUGCACGCCACGUGGGACUAAUGGUCUUUCUUUCCAGCACNNNNNNNNNNNNNNNNNNNNNNNNNNNNNNNNNNNNNNNNNNNNNNNNNNNNNNNNNNNNNNNNNNNNNNNNNNNNNNNNNNNNNNNNNNNNNNNNNNNNUUUGAAAAUAGAAAAUAGUUUUGCAUUAUUUAUUCAAUUUCAAACACUUUUCAUUAUCAUAGUUUUGUCAGAUUCUCAAAUAUGCAAAAAGAAUUUUAAUAAACAUAUUUUUUAAUUGAAAAUAGAAAAAUAGAUAAUAGUUUGGAUAGUCAAAAUAAUUACUUUUGAAAAUAGAAAAUAGUUUUGCAUUAUUUAUUCAAUGUCAAACACUUUUCAUUAUCAUAGUUUUGUCAAAUUCUCAAAUAUGCAAAAAGAAUUUUUAAUAAACAUAGUUUUUAAUUGAAAAUAACAAAAUAGAUAAUAGUUUGGAUAGUCAAAAUUAUUAAUUAUGAAAAUAGAAAAAAAUUGAAACUAUAUGAGAAUUUAUAGAGAAAAUUCAAUCUAAAUUCAAACUGAACUCACUUUGAAUUCAGGUUGAAUUUUCUCCAUAAUUUCGAAUAUAGUUUCAAUUUUCAGUGAGUUUAGGUCCGUAAGCCUGCUUUAGAGAGGAGCUCGAUGGAGAAGCUGCGACGGGGCUUAUAAACAAGUGUUAGUCCCCCUCGCUGGGCGAGGUGGGACUAAACUUAUCGUGCAACCCAGGAGGGGCUUUAGUCCCGGGUGGAGCCACGCCCCGGGACUAAAGCCCCUCGCCUGCCGCCUGCCGAGGAGGGGCUUUAGUCCCGAUGCGUGGCUCCACCCGGGACUAAAGGCCCCUGCUUCCCGCCUUCUGGUCUGCCCGAAAAGAGGCCUUUAGUCCCGGGUCGUGGCUCCACCCGGGACUAAAGGGGGUCUUUAGUCCCGGUUGGAGCCACGCACCGGGGCUAAAGAUCCACCUAUAUAAGCGGGACUUUGAAAAAUUCCCACCCAAAUCGUCCAUUUCUCUUCUUCUUCCUCUCGUUCUCUGCCCGGCGCGGCACAGCGACGAACUCGACGACGCCGUCACGCUGCCCACCGUNNNNNNNNNNNNNNNNNNNNNNNNNNNNNNNNNNNNNNNNNNNNNNNNNNNNNNNNNNNNNNNNNNNNNNNNNNNNNNNNNNNNNNNNNNNNNNNNNNNNGAAUUCAAAUUCUAUUCAUACUUCAAUUCGCUAUAACUUGCGUUGUAGUGCUGCAUUUCAAGAAAUUCUUUCUACAAAUAAAUUCUUAUGCCUUAUAUUAUUUGUCAAACAACAUUCAUGUUGUUCUCCCAAUAUUUUUUAUCAUAUCCCAUAGUGUAUGCAAGUCGAGCUUAUAUAGCGAUAGUUGAUCAUCCUUUGACUCUUUUGAGUUGACCCCUUUCACCUUUCCUUUACAACACACCUAGGACCUAUUUUUUUAUUAAACCUUAGUAUGUUGUUAUUUUGCACAAAGACAUGUUUUGUUCUUAUGUUCUUUUGGUUCUUCCUUUUUGGCAUGAAUGUUUAUUGAAUGCUAUUCGUUUACGAUAGAUUGCUUGGAGUGUGGCGAGUAGAAUUAUCAAGAUUUUGAGAGCGACUAUCUUCAUCAAGUAAUACCAGGCAAGUCAUUUGAUCAUGUAUCACCUAUGUUUUAUGCAUCGUAGUUCUACCAUCCUAUGCCCAAUUUGCAUGCUGACUAGGUACUUGGAAAUUAUGGUUACAUAUUGUAGUAUCAUGUGGUAGGCACCCAACAACCCCAUUACUUGGCCCGGGACGACAAAUUUCAUAUUGCUAUGCUUGAGUAGACGGGAUUCUGGUUGAGAGUUUAUCACGAGUGAUGCGAUAAUAAUUUAAUAACCAAGACCGGUUAAGUCAAGACUUUUCAAGAUCUCGUGAUGCAAUGCAACUCUGGGUGAAGGACGGUUGAUCGGCUCCCUGGAGAAACCAGUGGAUGACCCGGGAUGCUGGAGACGUGCCAUGACAUCUUGCGGAAAGCUUCACCCAGGCUCAAAGAGACGGACGGAUAUUUUCAAGACCCAAGGCUUACCUGCACAACCACAAGUCAUUAUGGGCUCUGUCUUGGUUGGACAACGCGGCGACUCUGGACAGGCGGUGCCAGCAGAUGUAGAAGAACGGUAGGAUUGGAUGGGCACCGACAGGGAUUCAGAGGGACCCGUUGAAAGACCAUGUUUUGAUCAUCCGGUCUUCAAACACCCUGAAGUGCGAGGACAUACAUGGAGGCGAUCAAAUCUUGUGGGGAACGUUUGCAAAACUCUCCAGAGUACUCAAACCUAAUCGAUUAGCCGUGUCCACGGUCAUGGACAACUUGAGCCAAAGGAACUGAAGUUAUCUGAAAUUCUCAACACCAUUAUAUAUAUUUGAUGUGGGUAAUAUUGUUAACUUGGGUAUGAGAAAUGGUUGGCGGAACCAUCUUAUUAAAAACAGCAGCGUAGUAAUAUUUUGCUUUUUAGCCCCUCUCUUGUUGUAGGAGAAAACUUUGCUUUCCGCUAAAAACUUACAACCCCACCUGCCAUAUAUGCAUAUAGUAUAGAUGAUAUUUUACCCCCCUCUCAUAUGUGACUUGCCGGCAUAUUCAANNNNNNNNNNNNNNNNNNNNNNNNNNNNNNNNNNNNNNNNNNNNNNNNNNNNNNNNNNNNNNNNNNNNNNNNNNNNNNNNNNNNNNNNNNNNNNNNNNNNGUGCCUUCAAGGCAGGCGUGCGGUACAGAGAUCUGUACCUGAAGUUCGGUCGAACAGGCGACAUCUCCAUGAGCAAGAUGAUGGAGAUAGCCGCACGCUAUGCAAAUGGCGAAGAAGAGGACGCAUAUGUAGCGGCAAGCAUAAGGCAGUCGCCGAUGGAGACGGGAACAACAAUCGGAAGCAGAAGCAGAAAGCUCCGUCCACUCCGCAGGCAGAGGCAGCAGCCGUUACCAAUGCCAAGUUCAAGGGUAAGGGGAAAGCUUAGUACACCCCUAAGAAGAGACAGUUCGGGAAUUCCAUCCUGGAUCAGCCAUGUCCAAUCCACACGAAGAUGGACGAAGAAGGCAACGCCAUAUUCCCGAAGCACACCACUCGGCAAUGUCACCUCCUGAUCCAAGGGUUCGGCGAAGGGCAGCCGAGUGAAAAGGACAACGAGCAGGAUGAUGAGGACAAGGAGGAUCCAUUCCCCCAAGUCCAUGCAACAUUGAUGAUUUUUGCUGACGUGGAAAGCAAGAGUCGAUUGAAGCUGGUGAACACGGAGGUGAACAUGGCAACCCCAACCAACCCCACGUUCCUCAAAUGGUCUCAGACUGCGAUCACCUUCGAUCAGUCGGAUCAUCCAGCACACGUGCCCACCCCAGGGAUGCAAGCUCUGGUCGUCAACCCGGUGGUGGAAGGAGUCCGACUGCACAAAGUCCUCAUGGACGGCGGCAGCGGCUUGAACAUCAUGUACGCCGACACUCUCGAGGGGAUGGGCAUUCCGAUUUCCAAACUUAGCGAGAGCAGCAUGCAGUUCCACGGAGUCAUCCUAGGACGAAAGGCCAAGUCACUCGGCCAGAUCGCGUUGGACGUCGUUUUCGGCUCCGACAAGAACUUCCACAAGGAAAAGCUGACAUUCGAGGUGGUGGACUUCCAGAGUGCAUACCAUGCGAUUCUGGGCCGUCCGGCGUAUGCGCGUUUCAUGGCCCGUCCAUGUUACGUGUAUUUGAAGCUGAAGAUGCCAGGUCCCAAAGGUGUGAUCACGAUCACAGGCAAUCGGUAGCGGGCCGAGGAGUGUCUGCAGCAGGGGCCAAGGAUUGCCGAUCAGCAAAUGGCUAUCCUCGAGCUGGAUGAGUACAAGAAGACAGCCGACCCCGCUGACUUGAUGCGUUCGAAGAAGCCAGCUUCGGAGUCCGCAUUCCAGUCGGCAGGAGACACGAAGAAAGUCAGCAUCCACCCGACGGACGACGCCGCUGCCCCGACAAACAUCUCCACCACCCUUGAUCCAAAAUAGGAAGCCGAGCUCAUCCAAUUCCUCCGUGAGAACUGGGACAUUUUUGCAUGGAAGCCCGCUGACAUGCCAGGUGUACCCAGGGAGUUGGCUGAGCACCGACUGCAUGUGGAUCCUGCUGCUCGGCCCGUCCGAGAACGCCUGCGUCAGUCCGCCGCGCACAAAAGGUAGGCAAUCGGAGAGGAGGUGGCUAAACUUUUGGCAGACAACUUCAUUCGCGAGGUACACCACUCCGAGUGGCUCGCCAAUGUUGUCAUGGUGCCCAAGAAGGACAAGUCCCUCCGUAUGUUCAUCGACUUCAAGCAUCUCAGUAAGGUCUACCCGAAAGAUCAUUUCCCGCUCCCCCGCAUUGAUCAAAUUGUCGAUUCGACUGCGGGUUGCGAUCAUUUAUCAUUCCUUGAUUCCUAUUCGGGCUAUCAUCAGAUCCGUCUAUAUGGUCCGGAUGAAUUAAAAACAGCCUUCCUCACCCCAUUCGGGUGCUUCUGCUACAUCACUAUGCCAUUCGGUUUGAAGAAUGCAGGAGCAACUUUUAUGUGCAUGACCCAAAAAUGCCUCCUUGACCAGAUCGGUCGAAAUGUGGAGGCAUAUAUGGACGAUAUCGUAGUCAAGUCACGCAAAGGUUCUGACCUGCUGACUGACUUGGCAGAAACAUUCGCCAACCUGCGUAGGUACGAUAUCAAGCUCAACCCAGCCAAGUGUUCAUUCGGCAUUCCUAGCGGGAAGUUACUCGGUUUCUUCGUUUCCGAACGAGGGAUCGAUGUCAACCCCGAAAAGAUCGGGACCAUCGUCCGAAUGGAACGGCCGGUCAGAAUACAUGAUGUUCAAAGGCUCACAAGUUGCCUAGCGGCUUUGAGCAGGUUUAUCACUCGACUCGGCGAGAAGGCGCUACCUCUGUACCGACUCAUGAAGAAAUCAGAUACUUUCGAGUGGACAGACGAAGCCCAAAUUGCAUUCGACAACCUCAAAGCCCUGCUUUCCACCCAGCCGGUUCUUACUGCCCCGCUCAGCAAAGAACCCCUUCUUCUGUACAUCGCGGUUACAAAUCAAGUCGUCAGCAUUGUUCUCACAGUCGAACGCGAAGAAGAAGGCAAAGCGUACAAGGUUCAGCGGCCAGUAUAUUAUGUCUCCGAAGUCCUCACUCCUUCCAAGCAGGGGUAUCCCCAUUAUCAAAAGCUUAUUUAUGGGAUAUACAUGACUGCAAAGAAGGUGGCUCAUUAUUUCCAAGACCACUCGGUGUGUGUCAUUUCUGAUGCUCCGUUGUUGGAAAUCCUCCACAAUCGGGACGCAUCAGGCCGAGUGGCGAAGUGGGCAAUGGAGAUGUUAUACUGCGACAUCAAGUUCGAAGCCAAGAAGGCUAUAAAGUCUCAAGCUCUGGCUGACUUCAUAGCAGAAUGGGUAGAACAACAACAACCAACUCACAUCUACUCGGCUCAUUGGACCAUGUUCUUCGAUGGGUCCAAGAUGUUGAAUGGCUCCGGCGCUGGCGUAGUGAUCAUAUCGCCAAAGGGUGAUAAACUCAAGUAUGUGUUGCAGAUACAUUUCGAUUCUUCCAACAAUGAGGCAGAGUACGAAGCUCUCCUUUAUGGAUUGCGCAUGGCCAUCACACUCGGCGUCCGUCGCCUGAUGGUCUAUGGCGAUUCAGAUCUGGUGGUUAAUCAAGUGAUGAAAGAAUGGGAUGUAAGGAACCCCACCAUGACCGCAUACUGCAACGCAGUAAGGAAGCUCGAGAAGAAGUUUGAAGGUCUGGAACUUCACCAUGUUCCCCGACUGAAAAACCAAGCAGCUGAUGAGUUGGCAAAACUCGGAUCCACUCGAAGACCAGUCCCGAGUGAUGUCUGCCUCGAGCACCUACAUCUCCCUUCGGUGAAAGAAGAUCCUUUCACAGAAGAACCGGUACAACCGAAGAGCUCAACAGAUCCGACUGAAGUCGAGGUCCCUGCUAUGGUUGAUUUGAUCAUGGAGAUUCUUGCUCUCAUCCCCGAUUGGACUGUGCCGUUCAUUGCGUACAUCCUGAGGCAAGAAUUACGAGAAGACGAAGUCCAAGCUAGGCAGAUCGUCCGCAGGUCAAAGUCCUUCACCGUCAUUGAUGGCCAGUUGUACAAGGAAAGUGUUUCACGCGUCCUUUAGCGGUGCAUCUCCCAUGAAGAGGGACAGUUAAUCCUGGAAGAAAUUCACUCGGGAACGUGCGGCCAUCAUGCUUCCUCAAGAGCAAUCGUCGCCAAAGCAUUUAGAGCUGGUUUCUUCUGGUUGCACGCGAAUGAAAUGGCAAAAGAUAUGGUCGACCGAUGCGAAGGCUGUCAGUUCUAUUCGAACAAGUCCCAAAAGCCAACAUCUGCGCUGAAGACAAUCCCUCUUGUUUGGCCGUUCGCAGUGUGGGGAUUAGAUACAGUCGGACCAUUCAGAACAGGCCAAGGGGGAUUCACUCAUCUGUUGGUAGUAGUCGACAAGUUCACCAAGUGGAUUGAAGCCAAGCCCAUCAAGAAGCUCGACGCCCUUACGGCCAUCAAAUUUUUCAGAGACAUCAUCGCCAGAUUCGGGGUUCCGCAGAGCAUAAUCAUCGACAAUGGCAUAAACUCUGACUCGGACAGAUUCAAAGGUUUUCACACAGGUCAAGGUAUCCGAGUGGAUUUUGCAUCUGUGGCGCAUCCCCAAACAAACGGGCAAGCAGAGCGGGCGAAUGGGCUUAUUCUUCAAGGGUUGAAGCCUCGACUCCUGCGAGAAGUUGGACAUGCCGCCGGCGCAUGGGUCACCGAACUGCCUUCGGUGUUGUGGGGCCUCCGCACAACUCCGAAUAGAUCUACAGGGCGAUCCCCGUUCUUCCUCGUUUAUGGAGCAGAGGCGGUCCUUCCGAGUGACUUGCUUCACAACUCUCCACGAGUCGAACUCUUCUCCGAAGCCGAAGCAGAGCAAGCUAGGCAAGACGGAGUGGAUCUUCUCGAAUAAGAGCGCGAGAUGGCACUGACCCGCUCAACAAUUUAUCAACAAGAUCUGCGGCGAUUUCACGCGCGACACGUCAGGAGUCACACAUUCCAAGCAGGCGACCUGGUGCUCCGAGUGGAUCAGCAGAGACCACACAAGUUGGCUCCCGCCUGGGAAGGACCCUUCAUCAUCUCUAAGGUGUUGAACAAUGGGGCGUAUCGACUUUACAACCUCGACAGGGAAACGGACGAGCCGCGGGCGUGGAACAGAGAUCUCCUGAAGCGCUUCUACACAUGACCGCCGACGAGGACAAUGUAAAGAACAAGUAUCAUUGAAGUAAUACAAAGCAGAUUGAUUUCUUGCAGGUUCAAAAUUCUUCCACGUUUGCAGACUCCGGUCUAAAUUUUUUUUUCUNNNNNNNNNNNNNNNNNNNNNNNNNNNNNNNNNNNNNNNNNNNNNNNNNNNNNNNNNNNNNNNNNNNNNNNNNNNNNNNNNNNNNNNNNNNNNNNNNNNNGAGAAAUUCUUCUUCGUCAACAUCGCCAGGCAAGUCAUUUGAUCAUGUAUCACCUAUGUUUUAUGCAUCGUAGUUCUACCAUCCUAUGCCCAUUUGCAUGCUGAGUAGGUACUUGGAAAUUAUGGUUACAUAUUGUAGUAUCAUGUGGUAGGCACCCAACAACCCCGUUACUUGGCCCGGGACGACCAAUUUCGUAUUGCUAUGCUUGAGUAGACGGGAUUCUGGUUGAGAGUUUAUCACGAGUGAUGCGAGAGUAAUUUAAUAACCAAGACUGGUUAAGUCAAGACUGUUCAAGACCUCGUGAUGCAAUGCAACUCUGGGUGCAGGACGGUUGAUCGGCUCCCUAGAGAAACCAGUGGAUGACCCGGGAUGCUGGAGAUGGCCAUGACAUCUUGCGGAAAGCUUCACCCAGGAUCAAAGAGACGGACGGAUAUUUUCAAGACCCAAGGCUUACCUGCACAGCCACAAGUCAUUAUGGGCUCUGGCUUGGUUGGACAAUGCGGCGACUCUCGACAGGCGGUGCUAGCAGAUGUAGAAGAACGGUAGGAUUGCAUGGGCACCAAUAGGGAUUCAGAGAGACCCGUUGAAAGACCAUGUUUUGAUCAUCCGGUCUUCAAACACCCUGAAGUGCGAGGACAUACUCGGAGGUGAUCAAAUCUUGUGGGGAACGUGUGCAAAACUCUGCAGAGUACUCAAACCUAAUCGAUUAGCCGUGUCCACGGUCAUGGACAACUUGAGCCAAAGGAACUGAGGUUAUCUGAAAUUCUCAACACAAAUAAUAAUAUUGAUGUGGGUAUUAUUGACAACAUGGCUACGAGAAUUGGUUGGUGGAACCAUCUCGUUAACAACCAACAAUGUAGUAACAUUUUGCUUUUAGCCCUCUCUUGAUGUAGGAGAAAACUUGCUUUUUCGCUAAAAACUUAUAGCCCCACCUGCCAUAUAUGCAUAUAGUAUAGAUGAUUAUUUUUCACCCCUCUCUUAUGUGACUUGCCGGCAUAUUCAAUAUGCUGACCUACACGGCUGCAACGUCUUAUGUUGCAGAUAUUUUUCUUCGACGAGUAAGAGUACGAUUCAGGGUUACGGUCUACACUCAACUUGCCGUUGGUGUUUAUUGGGACUCCACUCCCUUGACUGCUUCCGCUGAGAUAUUUAAGGUAUAUAUCAGUUUUNNNNNNNNNNNNNNNNNNNNNNNNNNNNNNNNNNNNNNNNNNNNNNNNNNNNNNNNNNNNNNNNNNNNNNNNNNNNNNNNNNNNNNNNNNNNNNNNNNNNCGGCCAUGGAAGUUGCAGGUUCGCUGGAGAAAGGAAGGUCACGGGAGAAUAGAGAAGGAAGGAAGAAGAAGAGGGAAGGAAAGAGAGAGAAGAAAAAAAGAAAGAAAAGAAAAGGGGAAAGAAAAAGAAAAAAAAUAAGGAAAGAAGAGGUGCGCUCGAGGUGCUGGUCGGUUGGGCAGGGGAUUUGGAUUCGCAGCGAUGGGGAUCUCGCCCGAGGAAAAAUAUCUCCCGUUUUUUUCUUUUUUUUAACAGAAACUAAAACGAAAAAAAGGAAACAAAUAAAAUAAUUAAUAUAGGGUAUUAUAUACCAACAUGAUCAGAAAAAUAUCCUCUACUCGAUUAACAUUUUUCCAAGGCAAAAAUAAAAACUUCAAAAAAUGUUUUUCAGAAAAAUAUCCCUUAUGCUAUAUUUUCUUUUUGCAAUUAUUUUCACGAUAAAACUUUGGCUUUCAUGGCUCAAAAUAUUUCAAAAAUGCCUCACAUUUUGGAGGGUCAUUUUCCUCCGCUCUCUCUUGCGUGCAAGAGAUUAUUUCCCGGCAUUUUCUCGGGGAAGAAAAAAUAUAGAAGCAAGGGCAAAAUUUUGAAAGGAUUUCAAAUGCAAACUCCGUUCAAAUUUUCUAUAGUUGAAGAAGUCAUGUCAUCUUCUCUCUUUGCUUUUAAAAGAUUGAAUUUGAAUUCAUCGGAGAUGGGGAAUGUCAUUUUAUUCCCUCUCAUUCAAAAGUUUUUGAAAAGUUUCAGAUUUCACUCANNNNNNNNNNNNNNNNNNNNNNNNNNNNNNNNNNNNNNNNNNNNNNNNNNNNNNNNNNNNNNNNNNNNNNNNNNNNNNNNNNNNNNNNNNNNNNNNNNNNUUGCCUCGAUCCAUUUUAUCCUUUCGACCAGCGAUCUGAGUGAAUAUACUAGUGAAACGAACCGUCAGGGACAGAGUGCUUCUACGGAAUCUUUUGAUGUGACCGGUCAAACUGACAACGGUGGAUUUUCCGGGGUCCUCAAAUUUAGGUUGCCGCACGCUCAGCAGGGAUGACGACAUCGCCAUCGAGUAGUUUCUGCCGCCUCAAUUACCGCGCCGUUAUCUUCUCCACUAACAUCGUAGCAGCCGGUCGGGGGGGGGNNNNNNNNNNNNNNNNNNNNNNNNNNNNNNNNNNNNNNNNNNNNNNNNNNNNNNNNNNNNNNNNNNNNNNNNNNNNNNNNNNNNNNNNNNNNNNNNNNNNNNNNNNNNNNNNNNNNNNNNNNNNNNNNNNNNNNNNNNNNNNNNNNNNNNNNNNNNNNNNNNNNNNNNNNNNNNNNNNNNNNNNNNNNNNNNNNNNNNNNNNNNNNNNNNNNNNNNNNNNNNNNNNNNNNNNNNNNNNNNNNNNNNNNNNNNNNNNNNNNNNNNNNNNNNNNNNNNNNNNNNNNNNNNNNNNNNNNNNNNNNNNNNNNNNNNNNNNNGGGGGGGGGGGGGGGGUAAGAUUUCGGGGUCACCUGUUAGCGACUCAGUAGGAAGCUUAUUUAAGCCCUUCCGGCGGGGAUCUCUUGUUGCGCUGCUCUUCUUCCUCGCGUUAACAUCGCUCCUAUCGUAGCUCCUUGCGCGCCUCAAGCCUCCUCCUUCCUCUCCUCCUCUGCGGAUCUGUUGCCUUCACCAUGACGAAGGGGCAGACCAGCAAACUCGAAGCGCAGAAGAAGAAGAAGAAGANNNNNNNNNNNNNNNNNNNNNNNNNNNNNNNNNNNNNNNNNNNNNNNNNNNNNNNNNNNNNNNNNNNNNNNNNNNNNNNNNNNNNNNNNNNNNNNNNNNNACGGGAUCACAUCAUUAGGAGAAUCAUGUGAUGGACUAGACCCAAACUAAUAGACGUAGCAUGUUGAUCGUGUCAUUUUGUUGCUACUGUUUUCUGUGUGUCAAGUAUUUGUUCCUAUGACCAUGAGAUCAUAUAACUCACUGACACCGGAGGAAUGCGUUGUGUGUAUCAAACGUCGCAACGUAGCUGGGUGACCAUAAAGAUGCUCUACAGGUAUCUCCGAAGGUGUUAGUUGAGUUAGUACGGAUCGAGACUGGGAUUUGUCACUCCGUGUGACGGAGAGGUAUCUCGGGGCCCACUCGGUAAUACAACAUCACACACAAGCCUUGCAAGCAAUGUGACUUAGUGUAAGUUGCAGGAUCUUGUAUUACGGAACGAGUAAAGAGACUUGCUGGUAAACGAGAUUGAAAUAGGUAUACGGAUACUGACGAUCGUAUCUCGGGCAAGUAACAUACCGAAGGACAAAGGGAAUGACAUUCGGGAUUAUAUGAAUCCUUGGCACUGAGGUUCAAACGAUAAGAUCUUCGUAGAAUAUGUAGGAUCCAAUAUGGGCAUCCAGGUCCCGCUAUUGGAUAUUGACCGAGGAGUCUCUCGGGUCAUGUCUACAUAGUUGUCGAACCCGCAGGGUCUGCACACUUAAGGUUCGACGUUGUUAUAUGCGUAUUUGAGUUAUAUGGUUGGUUACCGAAUGUUGUUCGGAGUCCCGAAUGAGAUCACGGACGUCACGAGGGUUUCCGAAAUGGUCCGGAAACGAAGAUUGAUAUAUAUGAUGACCUCAUUUGAUUACCGAAAGGUUUUCGGAGUUACCCGGAAUGUACCGGGAAUGACGAAUGGGUUCUGGGUGUUCACCCGGGGGGGGGGGAGGGGCAACCCACCCCGGGGAAGCCCAUAGGCCUUGGGGGUGGCGCACCAGCCCUUAGUGGGCUGGUGGGACAGCCCAAGAAGGCCCUAUGCGCCAUAGGAAGAAAAUCAAAGAGAAAAGAAAAAAAGGAGGAGGUGGGAAAGGGAAGAAGGACUCCACCUUCCAAACCAAGUUGGAUUCGGUUUGGAAGGGGAGACCUUCCCCCCUUGGCUCGGCCGACCCCCUUGGGGAUCCUUGAGCCUCAAGGCAAGGCUCCCCCUCUUCCCCCUAUAUAUACGGAGGUUUUAGGGCUGAUUUGAGACGUUUUUUCACGGCAGCCCGACCACAUACCUCCACGAUUUUUCCUCUAGAUCGCGUUUCUGCGGAGCUCGGGCGGAGCCCUGCUGAGAUAAGAUAACCACCAACCUCCGGAGCGACGUCACGCUGCCGGAGAACUCCUCUACCUCUCCGUCUCUCUUGCUGGAUCAAGAAGGCCGAGAUCAUCGUCGAGCUGUACGUGUGCUGAACGCGGAGGUGUCGUCCGUUCGGCACUAGAUCGUGGGACUGAUCGCGGGACGGUUCGCGGGGCGGAUCAAGGGACGUCAGGACAUUCCACUACAUCAACCGCGUUCACUAACGCUUCUGCUGUACAGUCUACAAGGGUACGUAGAUCACACAUCCCCUCUCGUGGAUGGACAUCACCAUGAUAGGUCUUCGUGCGCGUAGGAAAAUUUUUGUUUCCCAUGCGACGCUCCCCAACAGUGGCAUCAUGAGCUAGGUUCAUGCGUAGAUGUAUUCUCGAGUAGAACACAAAAGUUUUUGUGGGUGGUGAUGUGCGUUUUGCUGCCCUCCUUAGUCUUUUCUUGAUUCCGCGGUAUUGUUGGAUUGAAGCGGCUUGGACCGACAUUACUCGUACGCUUACGAGAGACUGGUUUCAUCGCUACGAGUAACCCCGUUGCUCAAAGAUGGCUGGCAAGUGUCAGUUUCUCCAACUUUAGUUGAAUCGGAUUUGACCGAGGAAGUCCUUCGAUGAGGUUAAAUAGCAACUCAUAUAUCUCCGUUGUGGUGUUUGCGUAAGUAAGAUGCGAUCCUACUAGAUACCCAUGGUCACCACGUAAAACAUGCAACAACAAAAUUAGAGGACGUCUAACUUGUUUUUGUAGGAUAUGCUUGUGAUGUGAUAUGGCCAACGAUGUGAUGUGAUAUAUUGGAUGUAUGAGAUGAUCAUGUUGUAAUAGUUAAUAUUGACUUGCACGUCGAUGGUACGGCAACCGGCAGGAGCCAUAGGGUUGUCUUUAAACUAACGUUUGUGCUUGCAGAUGCGUUUACUAUAUUGCUAGGACGUAGCUUUAGUAGUAAUAGUAUGAGUAGCACGACAACCCCGAUGGCGACACGUUGAUGGAGAUCAUGAUGAUGGAGAUCAUGGUGUGACGCUGGUGACAAGAAGUUCGUGCCGGUGCUUUGGUGAUGGAGAUCAAGAAGCACAUGAUUAUGGCCAUAUCAUGUCACUUAUGAAUUGCAUGUGAUGUUAAUCCUUUUUGCACCUUAUCUUGCUUAGAACGACGGUAGCAUUAUGAGGUGAUCUCUCACUAAAAUUUCAAGACGAAAUUGUGUUCUCCCCGACUGUGCACCGUUGCGACAGUUCUUCGUUUCGAGACACCACGUGAUGAUCGGGUGUGAUAGACUCAACGUUCACAUACAACGGGUGCAAAACAGUUGCACACGCAGAACACUCGGGUUAAGCUUGACGAGCCUAGCAUGUGCAGACAUGGCCUCGGAACACAUGAGACCGAAAGGUCGAGCAUUAAUCGUAUAGUUGAUAUGAUUAGCAUAGAGAUGCUUACCACUGAAACUAUUCUCGACUCACGUGAUGAUCGGACUUGAGAUAGUGGAUUUGGAUCAUGUACCACUCAAAUGACUAGAGAGAUGUACUUUUUGAGUGGGAGUUCUUAAGUAAUAUGAUUAAUUGAACUAAUUAUCAUGAACAUAGUCUAAUGGUCUUUGCGAAUACGAUGUAGCUUGCGCUAUAGCUCUACUGUUUUAAUAUGUUCCUAGAGAAAAUUUAGUUGAAAGUUGAUAGUAGCAAACUUUGUAGAGGAUUGUCCUCAUUGCUGCGCAGAAGGCUUAUGUCCUUAAUGCACCACUCGGUGUGCUGCACCUCGAGCGUCAUCUGUGGAUGCUGUGAACAUCCGACAUACACGUUUCUGAUGACUACACGAUAGUUUAGUGCAAAAUACUUAAUGGCUUAGAAGCAAGGCGCCGAAGACGUUUUGAGACGUCACGGAACAUAAGUGAUGUUCUAAAGAGAUUAAAUUGUGAUUUCAUGCUUGUGCCCUUGUUAAGAGGUACGAGACCUCCGCCA
Molecule: long non-coding RNA, 34227 nt
Filed under: Hordeum vulgare
Lineage: Eukaryota; Viridiplantae; Streptophyta; Magnoliopsida; Poales; Poaceae
Description: long non-coding RNA (HVUL_LNC008903)
Source: RNAcentral